GAUAAACGCUGGCGGCGCACAUAAGACAUGCAAGUCGAACGGACUUAACCGAAAUGUUUACAUUUUGGAGCGGUUAGUGGCGGACUGGUGAGUAACACGUAAGCAACCUGCCUAUCAGAGGGGAAUAACAGUGAGAAAUCACUGCUAAUACCGCAUAUGCUGUGAGUAUCGCAUGGUACAAACAGGAAAGGAGCAAUCCGCUGAUAGAUGGGCUUGCGUCUGAUUAGAUAGUUGGUGGGGUAACGGCCUACCAAGUCGACGAUCAGUAGCCGGACUGAGAGGUUGAACGGCCACAUUGGGACUGAGAUACGGCCCAGACUCCUACGGGAGGCAGCAGUCGGGAAUAUUGCACAAUGGAGGAAACUCUGAUGCAGUGACGCCGCGUGCAGGAAGAAGGUUUUCGGAUUGUAAACUGCUUUAGACAGGGAAGAAACAAGACAGUACCUGUAGAAUAAGNUCCGGCUAACUACGUGCCAGCAGCCG
Molecule: ribosomal RNA, 483 nt
Filed under: uncultured bacterium
Lineage: Bacteria
Description: bacterial SSU rRNA
Rfam family: Bacterial small subunit ribosomal RNA
Source: RNAcentral